GUUAAUUAAAAAAUCGUUAUUUAUUCACUUUUCAGUCCUGAACACAGACCUGCUGACAUGUUGAGAAGCAACUGAUAAAUUUGUAAAAGUUUACUUUGCUUUUUUUUUUAGUCGGCUAAAACACCUGAAGCUUAACCUACUUUGUGACACGUUUUAUUGUUUUAUUUGUUUAUAUAUUUGUUCACGAUUUAAUUUAUUUCUGUAUUGACCACAACUGAUGACGUUCUAUCAGCGCCAUCUGGUGGAGACUAAUAACAAGCAAAGGUUCCUUCUUGUUCUUAAACAUGAGUGUUUCCUAAAGUAGCGCCCCUACAGGUGGCAAGAGACAACACAGGAAGAUAACAUGAGAUUGCCUAAAAGUCACUAUUUUGAUGGAGCUCAAAACAUCUAUAGGUGAAGGAGCAUUUCUCUGGAAAAAAAGACUGAAAUUACAAUUUCUGACCCGUGUCUAUGUUGAGGAGACAAAUUUUCUUACUUGUUGAGAUCAAGUAAUUUAAAAUAAAGCCUUUGUUGGAUAGGAACACGUUUGGAAUGAGCACAAGGAUGACCUGUUACACCUACUCUCCUAAGUGAAAGUAUUUAAGAUUCCUAAGAGUUUCUCCAGGACAGCAAGAGUAGUAGCUGAAUGAAAACAGUGAUUGAGUGAGUAAAAUGAGUGGAAGACUGAUCAACAGGAACGCCCUGUGGUAGCUGGGAUUGGAUAAGUUAAAGAAAUUGUCUGUAUGGAUAGAUGGAAGCUAGCAUGAAGCCAGGUUAGUCUGGCUAGUUUUUUUUAUUUAUUUUUUGUUAUUUAUUUAUUUUUUAAAUGUAGUCUUUGCACAAAUGUAAAGACUCUCAAUGGGAGAUAAAAUUGGUGCAAUAACAUCUGGAGAAAAAAAACCCAUUUACAAUAUAAAUAUGUGAAGGCCAUUCUAAUGCCUUUUUUUCAUUUUCUUUUCUGGCAACACUUUAACAUACAUGAGGCUUGCUUGGUACAAAAAAACAAAACACAUUCAUUAAAAGGAUAGAAACUGGGUCACAUUUUCACAUAUCAAAGCAGCAUCUUUACAUGAAGCAUUCAGUAGUUCUAAAGAUGAGGAAAAAGAUGGUUCCUCAAGCCAUUUACACUUAUGGAUGUGCUAUUUGCCCAUAAUUAUUAGAACGUUGUAAAGCAUGACAAGUUCCUUAGAGUCAGUGGGGUCAUCCCAACUAUUCUUACGCUCAUCCAGUUUACCAAAUCCUGCAGGAAGCUAGUCAUUACUGAACAGGAAAAAAACACCUGGUCAAUACUUUCUUCUUCUUGUAAACAAAAUGGGUCCACCUCAAACCCAAACCUUUCUUUAAGGCUUUCUGCUGCUGGGUAAUAUCCAUUGAUUAUUUUAAAUGACAUUUCUUUAACUUUGGGGGGGGGGGAUAGGAUAGGUUUCAAAAAUGUGUUUAUUUGUUUGUUAUUUUAAUAUUACUCCAUUUUUAUAUUGUGUUAUUGUUAAAAUUGUAAAAUAUAUUUUCAAACAUUUUAUUUAUGAUUUUAUAACCACACUUUAGUUUAAUGAAUCUUAUUUAACUGUAAAGAGGGUAAACUGGUUUGUCCUUUAGAGUGAUUUAAAUGAUUUUGUAUCAAACUCAACAGAGAUAAAGGGAUUGCAUUAAAAACUUUAUUAUAUUCUCUACGGGAACACUGAAUAUUAAACUGGACAGUAAAGUAAAGUAAAUCUGUUAUAAAGAUGUUUUUUUUUUUUUUUUUUUCCCAUUCGACUCUUUAAUGAAUAAUGACUUCCUAUUAAUUGUAAUGGUCCUGUUAUUCCACAAGGUGGAGCCAUGUGGCGUGAAGUUAUGGGCUUAUGAAAUCCUGACAGGAUAUCAUAAGCAAAGCAUAAGGAUAUCUUGACAGGCAACUUCAAUAUAUCAAAAUGAUUAGUCUGGCUAGUUAGCUUAUUGAGAAUGUUAACUGGUUACAUUAGUAUAGCUAGUCGUGUGGCGUAAUAAGUUUUAUUGUGAAAGGUUUAACACGAAGUGAACGUCGGGUGAAGCGGCAGCUAAAGAGAGAAAUAGUUCGUGGGGAUUAGUGAUGGUAAAUUUGAUUCUUUUUACUGAAUCGAGUUUUAAAGAGUCACUCACCAAAGUGAAUCGGGUUUUUUGAGUCAUUUGAUUCACUGAGUCAGUCGACCAGAGUGUGCAAAAAAUUUACAUUUUCACUCAAACUUAAUUUGUUUCUCUUUUCAUGUAAAUCCUACUGCUAAGAUGAAUGAUUCUAAAAGAAAACAACUAUUUUAUAGAGCAAAAAAGAGCAAAAACAUUUAUAAAAUUAAGCAAUUUUCUAUCAAAAUUUUAUUUUAAUAUAUUUUUAUUUAUUUAUUUUAUUAGUAUUUUCCUUAAAUGUGUUAAAUAUACAUUUUCUCAUCUAAAUGUCCACUGAGCUGUGAGCCAGGGGGCGGUAAUGCGCCUUAACAUUGGUUGCCAACCAAGAAGAAGAAGAAGAAGCUGUGAGCCAGGAGGGAGGGGGUGAGCGAGCGAGUGAGUGAUUCGUUCGUUCUAUGAUUCAGCACAGGAGGGAGGGGGUGAGCGAGUCCUGAGUGAUUCGCACACGCUUACGAAUCAGCACAGGAGGGAGGGGGUUAGUGAGUCCUGAGUGAUUCGUUCGCUCUAUGAUUCAGCACAGGAGGGAGGGGCUGAGUAGCUCAAAUGUGCUGUUAGCAUGUUAGCAGAGCGAUGCUACUGUGAACCGAGGAGCUAUUUUCUUGAUGUGAGCUUCUACUCAGGGUUUUUUCUUCCAGUUCAGAGCAGAAUUUUUUUUUUUGUUACGAUACUGGAUGUUGUGUUUUUCUCCACAAUUUUAAUUAUAAGCUAGAUCAUUGCUGCUAACAGCAACAGGGAUGAGUCAGUGAGUCAGUUGGGCUUGUGAAUCACGAGUUAGUAAAGUGAUUCUCGAGUAUUGAACGAUUCGUUCAUGAUUCGCGCGUCACUAGCGGGGAUUUUGAAAGUACCAGUUUGAGUUGCUCUACAACAAUAAGAUGUCUGACGAAGAAGCGGAAGCUAGCGCGACAGCUACACAGCCUCGCACGCCACCGCCCCAAGCAAACACCGGGGGACAGGGGAAGAGGCCAUACGGCUAGAGAGUCGGCUACGAGAUUAGCUAA
Molecule: long non-coding RNA, 3116 nt
Organism: Astatotilapia calliptera (eastern happy)
Lineage: Eukaryota; Metazoa; Chordata; Actinopteri; Cichliformes; Cichlidae
Source: Ensembl